CCCUACAACCAUACCACCCUGAACAGGCCAAUCUCAUCUGAUCUCGGAAGCUAAGCAGGGUUGGGCCUGGUUAACACUUGGACGUGAGACUGCUUGGGAAUACCAGGUGCUGUUGUCU
RNAcentral lists this ribosomal RNA (118 nucleotides) under Bos indicus x Bos taurus (hybrid cattle). The record is from RNAcentral. Lineage: Eukaryota; Metazoa; Chordata; Mammalia; Artiodactyla; Bovidae.